UGUUCAUGGUCUUAGUGCCCGGUUCAGAUGCAAGGCCUGCCAGGAAGAUUGGGUGAUCGGUGAAAUUAAAUGUGUUCCAGCACUGGCCUUCAUCUGUGGAAAACCUGAAAACAGACAUCAAAGAGCCAAAAAAAUUACAACUGCUUAAAACAAAUAACACACGGUAACCUGGAUGCUGCAAAUCAUUUUGCCACUAUAAGACCUCCAGAGUCCAGGAUGCUAUAGAGAUGCGGUCCUCUCAAAGUCCCCCACCAGGUGUAUCCUCCAUCUCCAGACACAUACACAUCCGGCCGGGCAGCUGAUAUGGAGUCCCCGACGCUACCUGCGCUGACACAGAAGGAACCUGUGUUAAACCAAGUAUAAAAGUGUACCUCCUGGGUUGUCCACGUGCAUGAAGAUCAUGUCCUCAUCACCGUCCAGAACCGAGUAGAACUGUGAACAAACACCUUGAGUUAGUCUCAUAAGAAUCUUCGUGUGCAUCUCUUAUAUAAGCAACACUACAAAAGUUGUCAAUGGGACAGUACUUUUAAAAAGGUCCUAAUAUGUGACAUUUUGGUACAGUAAGGUACCUCUAAGGAACCAAUGUGUAUCUUUGAGGUACCAGUGUGUAUCUUUGAGGUACCAAUGUGCACCUUUAAGGUACAAAAGUGUUCUUUUUGAAAUGGUACUCCCCAGUAACAGCUUUGUUACCUUCUUGUACCUUCUUUUUUCAUCGGAGUGCCCAUGCUGACACAAGGAGAACAUGCAAACUCCACACAGAAAACCUCCUGACGCAAAUAAGACUUGCGGUAAGGCAACAGUGCUAUCCACUGAGCCACUGUGGUGUAACUGAUGUGGUUUUGGAUGAACUAACCCUUCAAAGUAAUUUCAAUUGUUAGGUGAAACAUAUCACUAGGAAAUGUUUGCUAAAUGCCUAAUGGUAAAUGUGGAAAUGUUUUUAAAGUCACAAUGACACAUAAGUAGCUAUUAUCUUAUUUUCCCCAUUGUAUAUUAUAUAUUGUAUAUAACAGUAAAACAGCGUCUGAAAUGAGAAUGGGUCAUUCUACGGAAAUGUAAAUUUUUCUGUCCCUAGCCUUUACAGAAAUGUUACACUUGAAACACCUAAGGGUUACAAUUUUUUAUAUUUAAAAAUGAGACAAUAUGUUUUUUGAACAUUUACAUCUUCUUGAGCCAUCAAUGUAGCAAUAUUUCAUUUUUAUUAAUUAAUUAGAAUUCCAAGCAUCUCAGAAGUGCUCUUCCCCUCAGUCAUGUACACAGGGAAAAUGCUUUAUUUUUAGAUCAAAAACAGUGUUUUCUUCCAUUUAAAAUACAAUAAUGUGUAAAUAACUAUCAAAUAUAUGAUGUAAAUUAAAUUAAAAGACAAAAUGCUAAAUAAAUAUUAUAAAAUAUAUAAUGAAAAUAGUGGUCCCCUGGAGUUGUGUCACUGGUGUUACUGUUUAACAAAAAGCUCUUGUUUUUAAAUAAAAAUCACACUGAUGACAUCACUUGACUUCCUUCUUUCCACUUCCCGGAGAUCUAUGAAGAGACGCCCAUAUAUGUCCACUGUCUCUUUUCAGUUAUCAGAAAUCUUCUCAUUUAUCUCAUGAUUUCAUAUGAAGCUUUUAGUUUAAGUCACUGGUAUGAUGUCCCUUAUUGUUUGGAAAUUGCAAAAAACUAGAAUACAAAUGAAUUAAACUACUUAAUUUAGUGAAUAUACAAUGAUUGACAACCUGUGGUUUGAUACUUUGCAGCAGAAAUUUUGUAAAAUGCAGUUUUCAUGUAAAUUGUCACUGGUGAUACCUUCCUAACAGCAGCGAAGAUCAGUAACACCAGUGACUGGUGAUUUGUUGUGUCACUGGUGUUACUGUGUUUUUAUUUCUUUCACAUUAAGUAAAAUCUUUCACAUGUGACAUGAUGAUAAUUUUUUAUUAAUUGAAUUCUGCUACACUUUAACACCUUCAUAAACACCUUUUAAUAUUGCUAAAAAAGUAAGGUAACACCAGUGACAAAAAAGGUCUAUGCAGUCUUGAAGUACAUGCACACAAAAAAUAAAAAAUCAUUAAGCUGUCAUUUAUGUGUACUUAUAACGUCAAAUAGUAAUCUAAUAAUGUGGUCUAAGUUUAAAUGUUAGAAAAAUAAAUACAUUUUAUCAUGCCAAAAGUGGACGUUUCUGUAGAAUGACCAGAAUACACGUAGGGCGGGACUUGAACUCGUCCAUCGAGAACUGAUUGGAUCGUUGGAAGUUGGGUCAUUUUGCUAAUUGCUAAUCGCUGCAAUAUUUUCCCAUACCCCACCCUUGUGCCAUAGCUCAUGACCGGAAGUAAAGCGAGAUCGGUUCGAGGAUGGGAGGACAUUAAGGCUUUUUAUACAUUUUAAUUUUACUGAAUUGAUGUUAAUGUGGGAACUUUAUGCUCUUCAUUUUAAUUGUGUUCUAAUGUUUACUAUUAACCUAUUAUUGCAUUUUUGUUUGAUACUUAAUUUAAAUUUUCAAAAUGAAUAAAUAAAUAAAUAAAUACUUUUUUUACAAUAUUUAAGCUUUUGGCAGACGAUUUAAAAGCGACUUACAGUGAAUUAAAAGGUAUACAUUAUCAUUAUGUAUUCCCUGGGUUCAAACCCAUGUCCUUUGCGUUGCAAACACAAUGCUCUACCACUGAGCUUAACAACUCUGUUCUGUAAGGCAGUGUUUCCCAACCUUUUUUCUGUUUUGAUAAGUAAAAAAUUCAUACGGCACACCACUUUCACAAUAAACAUUAACAGAUCUGCACAAACCUGUUGCAAUGCUUAAAUGACUUGUUAAACUGAAAUAUUAUACUGUAUAAACCUAGUAUUCACAUUUAAUGUGAAACUUGAUCAUGUUUUGAUGAACACAAAUGAUAUCCUGGCUGGAAUUGAUGACAGUGACACACGCAGCUGUGACCAACUCAGGAACCUGGUAGCUAGCUUCGAGCACUUUUUCAAACACUGUGGCAAUUUUAUUUUCCACAGCAUACCAAACAAGUGGUCACGGCACACUAGUGGUUAGGAAACACUGCUGUAAGGGUUAAAGCUGAGUUUCUGUACCCUUUUCAUGUCUUGCCUGAAAUGGGGGUGGUUGUGUUUCUGUUGUGCACUCUCUGGAAGGUUCCCGAAGUGAUCCUCGGCCUACAGGUGCUCGGUUAAAUAAAGCCUUAGGCAAGAGUUUUGUUUAAACUAAUUUUUGUGUCUGUGCCUUUUUCUUGGAUGCUACACUAUAUUUGAAGGACACUGGCAAUACCACCACAAACCCCAAGGGGCCCUGGACCCCUGUUGAAGAACCAAUGUUUCA
Paramisgurnus dabryanus is the source of this 3283-nucleotide long non-coding RNA. RefSeq lists it as uncharacterized. The record is from RefSeq and is a predicted model, not a curated record. NCBI's taxonomy places the organism in Eukaryota, Metazoa, Chordata, Actinopteri, Cypriniformes, Cobitidae.